GAUGAACGCUGGCGGCGUGCCUAAUACAUGCAAGUCGAGCGAACAGACGAGGAGCUUGCUCCUCUGACGUUAGCGGCGGACGGGUGAGUAACACGUGGAUAACCUACCUAUAAGACUGGGAUAACUUCGGGAAACCGGAGCUAAUACCGGAUAAUAUAUUGAACCGCAUGGUUCAAUAGUGAAAGACGGUUUUGCUGUCACCUAUAGAUGGAUCCGCGCCGCAUUAGCUAGUUGGUAAGGUAACGGCUUACCAAGGCAACGAUGCGUAGCCGACCUGAGAGGGUGAUCGGCCACACUGGAACUGAGACACGGUCCAGACUCCUACGGGAGGCAGCAGUAGGGAAUCUUCCGCAAAGGGCGAAAGCUUGACGGAGCAACGCCGCGUGAGUGAUGAAGGUCUUCGGAUCGUAAAACUCUGUUAUUAGGGAAGAACAAAUGUGUAAGUAACUAUGCACGUCUUGACGGUACCUAAUCAGAAAGCCACGGCUAACUACGUG
RNAcentral lists this ribosomal RNA (497 nucleotides) under uncultured bacterium. RNAcentral's name for it is "partial 16S ribosomal RNA". It matches the Rfam family "Bacterial small subunit ribosomal RNA", at positions 28 to 507 of the family's 1533-position model. The record is from RNAcentral.